RNAcentral lists this ribosomal RNA (497 nucleotides) under uncultured bacterium. Its description in RNAcentral is "partial 16S ribosomal RNA". It matches the Rfam family "Bacterial small subunit ribosomal RNA", at positions 28 to 507 of the family's 1533-position model. The record is from RNAcentral.
GAUGAACGCUGGCGGCGUGCCUAAUACAUGCAAGUCGAGCGAACGGACGAGAAGCUUGCUUCUCUGAUGUUAGCGGCGGACGGGUGAGUAACACGUGGAUAACCUACCUAUAUGCCUGGGAUAACUUCGGGACACCGGAGCUAUUACCGGCUACUAUUUUCAACCUCAUGGUUCAAAAGUGAAAUACGGUCUUGCUGUCACUUAUAGAUGUAUCCGCUCUGCAUUAGCUACUUGGUGAGGUAACGGCUUUCCAAGGCAACGAUGCCUAGCCGACCUGUGAGGAUGAUAGGCACCACCGGAACUGAGAACCGUCACAAAAACCUACGGGCGGCAGAGGUAGGGAAUCGUCAGGAAUGGGCGAAAGCCGGACGGAGCAACGCCGCGUGACUGAUGAAGGCUUUCGGACCGUAAGACUCUGUUAGUAGGGAUGAAGAUAUGUGUAAGUAUCGGUGCACAGCUUGACGGUACCUAAGCAGAAAGCCACGGCUACCUACGUG